RNAcentral lists this transfer RNA (76 nucleotides) under Vulgatibacter sp. Its description in RNAcentral is "tRNA-Gly". It matches the Rfam family "tRNA". From Rfam's summary of the family: Transfer RNA (tRNA) molecules are approximately 80 nucleotides in length. Lineage: Bacteria; Pseudomonadati; Myxococcota; Myxococcia; Myxococcales; Vulgatibacteraceae. RNAcentral also lists the same sequence under 13 other names. The record is from RNAcentral.
GCGGGAAUAGCUCAGUUGGUAGAGCGUCAGCCUUCCAAGCUGAGGGUCGCGGGUUCGAGUCCCGUUUCCCGCUCCA